UCAAGAAACUUCCACAAUGGGCGAAAGCCUGAUGGAGCGACGUCGCGUGAUGGACGAAGUGCUUCGGCACGUAAACAUCUUUUUAUGUGGGAUGAAAUUAUUGACAGUACCACAUGAAUAAGGGGCUCCUAACUCUGUGCCAGCAGGAGCGGUAAUACAGAGGCCCCAAGCGUUAUCCGGAAUCACUGGGCGUAAAGGGUGUCGAGGCGGUUGUAUUAGUCGUUCGUAAAAUCUACGAGCUUAACUUGUAGGCGGCGAACGAAACGGUACGACUUGAGGUUUGGAGAGGUGCGUGGAACUCACGGUGUAGGGGUGAAAUCCGUUGAUAUCGUGGGGAACACCAAGGCGAAGGCAGCGCACUGGCCAAAAUCUGACGCUCACACACGAAAGCUAGGGUAGCGAAGAGGAUUAGAUACCCUUGUAGUCCCUGAGCGGGCUGGCAAGGCGCAU
Molecule: ribosomal RNA, 450 nt
Filed under: uncultured bacterium
Lineage: Bacteria
Description: bacterial SSU rRNA
Rfam family: Bacterial small subunit ribosomal RNA
Source: RNAcentral